CCUACGGGGUGCAGCAGUGAGGAAUAUUGGUCAAUGGACGAGAGUCUGAACCAGCCAAGUAGCGUGAAGGAUGACUGCCCUAUGGGUUGUAAACUUCUUUUAUAAAGGAAUAAAACGAGGCACGUGUGCCUUUUUGCAUGUACUUUAUGAAUAAGGAUCGGCUAACUCCGUGCCAGCAGCCGCGGUAAUACGGAGGAUCCGAGCGUUAUCCGGAUUUAUUGGGUUUAAAGGGAGCGUAGAUGGGUUGUUAAGUCAGUUGUGAAAGUUUGCGGCUCAACCGUAAAAUUGCAAUUGAUACUGGCAGUCGUGAGUACAGUUGAGGUAGGCGGAAUUCGUGGUGUAGCGGUGAAAUGCUUAGAUAUCACGAAGAACCCCGAUUGCGAAGGCAGCUUACUAAACUGUGACUGACAUUGAUGCUCGAAAGUGUGGGUAUCAAACAGGAUUAGAUACCCCAGUAGU
This 459-nucleotide ribosomal RNA is filed under the name uncultured bacterium. RNAcentral describes it as "partial 16S ribosomal RNA". It matches the Rfam family "Bacterial small subunit ribosomal RNA", at positions 338 to 794 of the family's 1533-position model. The record is from RNAcentral.